UACGGAGGGUGCGAGCGUUGUCCGGAAUCACUGGGCGUAAAGGGCGCGUAGGCGGCUUGGGAAGUCCGUGGUGAAAGCCCGAGGCUCAACUUCGGGUCGGCCAUGGAUACUCCUAAGCUCGAGUCGACUAGAGGCUAAUGGAAUUCCGGGUGUAGCGGUGGAAUGCGUAGAGAUCCGGAAGAACACCGGUGGCGAAGGCGGUCUGCUGGGCAGUUUCUGACACUGAGGCGCGACAGCGUGGGGAGCAAACAGG
Molecule: ribosomal RNA, 253 nt
Filed under: uncultured bacterium
Lineage: Bacteria
Description: partial 16S ribosomal RNA
Rfam family: Bacterial small subunit ribosomal RNA
Source: RNAcentral